GAAGAGGUUGAAGGGCAAACCCAAGUUUGAGCCAAUCCCAAAUCUAUUUAGUAUUUUAUACUUUGACACUUCUCACUCCAUUUCCAUAUAGCUCCUCUUUCUUACCCACACAGCAAGAAAAUGGAGCUCCAACCCAACCGAAAUGCCCAAACCUCUACUCCAGACCCAAUAUCAGACCUUGAUAACCCCAACAAUGGCUUUCCUUUCUCUGCCCAACAACCCCAUCUCUUUUCUGAUGAUUUUGACAGCACUUGUUCCACUCCUUAUGUUAGUGCUCCUUCUAGCCCCGGCCGUGGCCCUGCUUCCGGACCUAUUAAUGGUGGUUUCUUUUACAGUUGCCCUGCAAGCCCAAUGCACUUCGCUAUUACAUCUACUGCUGCUUCAUACUCUGCGUCAGCUGUUUCUUCACCGGAUAAUGGUAAUGGCGGCUCUGUGCCUGUUGGGUAUGAGUUUGAAUUCUCUGCAAGACUUGGGUCCAGUGGUUAUGGUCAAACUGGGUCUAUGAGUUCUGCUGAUGAGUUGUUUUUGAACGGCCAAAUCCGUCCCAUGAAGCUAUCGACACAUUUGGAGAGACCCCAAGUGUUGGCGCCGUUGUUGGAUCUUGAAAAUAAAGAGGAAGGGGAGGGUGAGGAGUAUGAUAUGGGUAUUAAGAAUGGUGGAAGAAUAGUUAGUGGCGGCGGGAGUACAAGAGGCAGAGAUCUGAGACUGCGUGAUAAAUCUUUACGUCGAAGAACCAGAUCUAUGUCUCCACUAAGAAGUAUUUCUUUGGAGUUCGUUAAUGAUGAUGAUGAAGAUGGCAAGAAGAAUGAGAUCUAUGGCUCCACUGAUGAGUCUUGUGAGGCUUCUUGUUUGGAAGCUAAUGGGAGUAUCAAGAUUGAAGAAGAAGCAGCAGCAACUCUAUCAGUUUCUGCAUCUUCUUCUAGGUCAUCUUCAGCUGGAAGGAACUCAAAAAGAUGGGUUUUUUUGAAAGAUUUUCUUUACAGAAGCAAAAGUGAAGGGAGGAGCAAUAAUAAGUUCUGGUCUAAUAUUUCUUUUUCACCAGCAAAGGAAAAGAAGUCCAUGAACACAGCGGCAGCAGCAGGUGUUCAAGUUCCUGCCACAACAAAAGAAAAGCUUGGAAAUGCCUCAAAUGAGAAUCAAAAAGUUAAGGGAAGUGGAAUAGCUUCAGGGAAGAAACCAAUGAAUGGGGUAGGGAAGAGAAGGGUACCAACAUCACCUCACGAGUUGCAUUAUAAGGCAAGUAAAGCACAGGCUGAGGAGAUGAAGAAGAAGACCUUUCUGCCUUAUAGACAAGGACUACUUGGGUGCUUAGGGUUUAGUUCAAAGGGUUAUGGAGCCAUGAAUGGAUUUGCUAGAGCUCUGAAUCCAGUAUCCUCAAGGUAAAAUCUAUGAGUCUAAAGGAAUUGUAUAGAUCUUAUUAUCAUUAUUUUUUUAAUAUUUUUCUUUGUGUAGUUUAAUGAUGAUAUAUGUAUUUAUUAUUGGGUCUGGUCUUGUUCUUCUCUCUUUGUUAAAAAGAGAAGUUCCUGAUCCUUGUAUUUUGUACCCUCUCAUAGUCAUAGGGUUGUAUUAACUGUAAGCCAUGAGAAAGCUCAAUCUAUUACUUCUGGUUGAGUAAACAACUUGGGAUCAUAAUGAAAUAGUGGCCUAAUUGGAUUAUUGAACCAAUAAUACAAUACACAUGGUGCAGAGGCAUAACUCUGUUAUGUUAGGUAGUGGAGGUCCCAUAUUACCCAUAGUAUCCAUGAGGCUGCCCCCAUACUGACCUACA
Molecule: unclassified non-coding RNA, 1768 nt
Filed under: Hevea brasiliensis (rubber tree)
Lineage: Eukaryota; Viridiplantae; Streptophyta; Magnoliopsida; Malpighiales; Euphorbiaceae
Source: RNAcentral